CUUCUGAAGCGCCCGUAUUCCAAAUAUGUUUAAAAACCGCGAUCUACAAACUGGACGGUACGAAAUCCUGAUCAAUACUUGAACUGUCGGCGGGGCAUCUCCCCCAAGUGUCUCGCCGAUAUUGGUACCAACGGACCGCGUGCCAUUGUUUUACUCCUAAUGGUCUUAACCCGGAUUCACCCCCCAGAACCCGG
This is a non-coding RNA of Pseudomonas sp. GM78, 194 nucleotides long. NCBI's taxonomy places the organism in Bacteria, Pseudomonadati, Pseudomonadota, Gammaproteobacteria, Pseudomonadales, Pseudomonadaceae. The record is from Rfam.